RNAcentral lists this ribosomal RNA (253 nucleotides) under uncultured bacterium. Its description in RNAcentral is "partial 16S ribosomal RNA". It matches the Rfam family "Bacterial small subunit ribosomal RNA", at positions 524 to 776 of the family's 1533-position model. The record is from RNAcentral.
UACGUAGGGUGCGAGCGUUAAUCGGAAUUACUGGGCGUAAAGCGUGCGUAGACGGUUGCGUAAGUCAGAUGUGAAAGCCCCGGGCUCAACCUGGGAAUUGCAUUUGAGACUGCGUAGCUAGGGUGCGGAAGAGGGAAGCGGAAUUUCCGGUGUAGCGGUGAAAUGCGCAGAUAUCGGGAAGAACACCCGUGGCGAAGGCGGCUCUCUGGGACGGUACUGACGCUGAGACGCGAAAGCGUGGGGAGCGAACAGG